AACGAACGCUGGCGGCAGGCCUAACACAUGCAAGUCGAACGCCCUAGCAAUAGGGAGUGGCAGACGGGUGAGUAACACGUGGGAACGUGCCUUUCGGUUCGGAAUAACCCAGGGAAACUUGGACUAAUACCGGAUACGUGCGAGAGCAGAAAGAUUUAUCGCCGAAAGAUCGGCCCGCGUCCGAUUAGCUAGUUGGUGAGGUAACGGCUCACCAAGGCGACGAUCGGUAGCUGGUCNGAGAGGAUGAUCAGCCACACUGGGACUAAGACACGGCCCGGACUCCUACGGGAGGCAGCAGUGGGGAAUAUUGGACAAUGGGCGCAAGCCUGAUCCAGCCAUGCCGCGUGAGUGAUGAAGGCCCUAGGGUUGUAAAGCUCUUUCGCCAGGGACGAUAAUGACGGUACCUGGAUAAGAAGCCCCGGCUAACUUCGUGCCAGCAGCCG
Molecule: ribosomal RNA, 443 nt
Filed under: uncultured bacterium
Lineage: Bacteria
Description: bacterial SSU rRNA
Rfam family: Bacterial small subunit ribosomal RNA
Source: RNAcentral